UGGGGAAUUUUGGACAAUGGGGGCAACCCUGAUCCAGCGACGCCGCGUGGAGGACGAAGGUCUUCGGAUUGUAAACUCCUUUUGGAGGGGAAGAAUGCCUGCGUGAAUAACGCAGGUUGACGGUACUCUUUGAAUAAGCCACGGCUAACUACGUGCCAGCAGCCGCGGUAAUACGUAGGUGGCAAGCGUUACUCGGAAUCACUAGGCGUAAAGCGCGGGUAGGCGGUUGGGUAAGUCGCUUGUGAAAGCUCCUGGCUUAACUGGGAGAGGUCAAGGGAAACUACCUGGCUAGAGUGCGGUAGAGGAAGCUGGAAUUCCUGGUGUAGCGGUGAAAUGCGUAGAUAUCAGGAGGAACACCUAUGGCGAAAGCAGGCUUCUGGACCGUCACUGACGCUGAUCCGCGAAAGCUAGGGGAGCAAAC
This 421-nucleotide ribosomal RNA is filed under the name uncultured bacterium. RNAcentral's name for it is "bacterial SSU rRNA". It matches the Rfam family "Bacterial small subunit ribosomal RNA", at positions 355 to 773 of the family's 1533-position model. The record is from RNAcentral.